CCUACGGGAGGCUGCAGUGAGGAAUAUUGGUCAAUGGGCGUAAGCCUGAACCAGCCAAGUCGCGUGAGGGAUGACUGCCCUAUGGGUUGUAAACUUCUUUUAUACAGGAAUAAAACGAGGCACGUGUGCCUUUUUGCAUGUACUUUAUGAAUAAGGAUCGGCUAACUCCGUGCCAGCAGCCGCGGUAAUACGGAGGAUCCGAGCGUUAUCCGGAUUUAUUGGGUUUAAAGGGAGCGUAGAUGGGUUGUUAAGUCAGUUGUGAAAGUCUGCGGCUCAACCGUAAAAUUGCAAUUGAUACUGGCAGUCUUGAGUACAGUUGAGGUAGGCGGAAUUCGUGGUGUAGCGGUGAAAUGCUUAGAUAUCACGAAGAACCCCGAUUGCGAAGGCAGCUUACUAAACUGUGACUGACAUUGAUGCUCGAAAGUGUGGGUAUCAAACAGGAUUAGAUACCCUGGUAGUC
Molecule: ribosomal RNA, 460 nt
Filed under: uncultured bacterium
Lineage: Bacteria
Description: partial 16S ribosomal RNA
Rfam family: Bacterial small subunit ribosomal RNA
Source: RNAcentral